UAGAAACCUUUACUAAGACCAAGGGACCCUGAACUUAUUCCCAGGGAGCACUGGCCACAGCUUCUUGCAUACCUCCAAGAACAGGAGUCUCACUCAUCUCAAGUGGAACCAGAGGCCUUCUCUGAGAUUCGGUUCUGCCCCAGGGACCUGAGAGCACCAGUGUCCAACUGCAGAUCCCUUCUGGGGAGACAUUAAAACACCAACUGUCUAACAAAGUCAUGGCUGCAACGACCUGCAAGGGGAGCAGCCUUGUUACCGUGUCAAGUGCACAAACCAAGACCCAGGGAGAAGCAAACGGACCGCUCAACAUCCCACGGUCAACAAGCUGAAGCCAACCAAUGCCAGGGCUCCCUCUUGACCACCCCGUGGAGCCAUGAGAUCCUCAGUGGCACAGCUGCCACCCUAGCUCAAGACACUGAUCCUAUAAUUCUGGCCAGGGCGUCAGAUCCCUUGGUGUCUUGAGACUCCUGGUGAAUGCUUCCAAGAGCCCACACUGCAUUGUCACCACGGCGAGCGCCUGUGUGCCUCAUUCCUGGCAAAUCCUUCGCUGACCUGUCUUCUUUUCCUCUACCCUCUGCUCCACAGUGCCAGGAGGCUGGAGGGAGGGAGGAGGCUCUGAGGCCUUCUGGAUUCUGGAACAGACUGUCAGCAACUUUAGUGGCAGGAGGAUUUCCAGUCCCGUCUUACAUAAGGACCCACUAAGUUCAUAUUUCAAAACACACUGAAAGACCACUUCUCAGCUGUCAUCAGAAAGGGCAGAAUGAGGGCAGCAAAUGAAGCAGGCAGGACUGGAGGAUGGGCUAAGUUUGCAAGGGCUGACCAGUGGUGAGGCUGGGAUGGAUUCUGGUGGCCGGGCCUGUGGGCGGAGCCAGCUCUAUUCUAGGCAGGGUCAAGUGUUUCUGGGUUCCUGGCCUCAUGCUUGUUAUUGUUGCUGUUGUUGUUUUAUUUUGCUAUUACUGAGUGAAAGUACUUACAGAAUUCAGAAGAGGGCAUCGGAUUCCCUAGAGCUCAGAUUACAGACAGUUUGGAGGUCAUCGAAUGUGGGUGUGGAAACCAAACUUGGAUCCUCUGCAAGAGCAACAAGUGCUCUUAGCUACUAAGCGAUCUCUCCAGCCCCAUGUUCUUGAAGUAAAAAGCAUACAUAGAUGUGAUAGAAAAGAUCAGAAUGCUCUACUAGGGAGGGAGCAUCGCCACAGGAGAAAAUCUACUCAAGAGCCCACCCCU
This is a long non-coding RNA of Mesocricetus auratus (golden hamster), 1224 nucleotides long. RefSeq lists it as uncharacterized. The record is from RefSeq and is a predicted model, not a curated record. NCBI's taxonomy places the organism in Eukaryota, Metazoa, Chordata, Mammalia, Rodentia, Cricetidae. The transcript is spliced from 3 exons.